RNAcentral lists this long non-coding RNA (354 nucleotides) under Lactuca sativa (garden lettuce). RNAcentral's name for it is "long non-coding RNA (LSAT_LNC007848)". Lineage: Eukaryota; Viridiplantae; Streptophyta; Magnoliopsida; Asterales; Asteraceae. The record is from RNAcentral.
GCAGCUUCUCUCCACCACCACCAGUGCCGCCGUGUCUCUGCUUCUCCGAUGAACUAUACAGACCAACGCCAACCGACGAAACAUCUUUCACCAACGUAUUCGCCCAUGAAACUGCUGGCUCAUUCAUCGGUACGCCAUUUCUAAACCCAAAAGAUGCAGACUUUUUGAGCUUGUUAGCAUCCUCACCAUUAAACCCCCACUCCAGUUUCCCGUCAGGCGAACCCCACUGCGAAAAUUGUGGACUCAUGGCGCCUGAACCUGCCGUGCCUCGGUCAAUGAAGCUCUGGCUACGUUGUUUCGAGAACGCACCAGACCUUGAAUUGAUCACCGCCUGAGCAACCGCCGCCGAUGAAU